Molecule: ribosomal RNA, 276 nt
Filed under: uncultured Staphylococcus sp.
Lineage: Bacteria; Bacillati; Bacillota; Bacilli; Caryophanales; Staphylococcaceae
Description: partial 16S ribosomal RNA
Rfam family: Bacterial small subunit ribosomal RNA
Source: RNAcentral
UUGACGUUAGCGGCGGACGGGUGAGUAACACGUGGGUAACCUACCUAUAAGACUGGGAUAACUUCGGGAAACCGGAGCUAAUACCGGAUAAUAUUUCGAACCGCAUGGUUCGAUAGUGAAAGGUGGUUUUGCUAUCACUUAUAGAUGGACCCGCGCCGUAUUAGCUAGUUGGUAAGGUAACGGCUUACCAAGGCGACGAUACGUAGCCGACCUGAGAGGGUGAUCGGCCACACUGGAACUGAGACACGGUCCAGACUCCUACGGGAGGCAGCAGUC